Molecule: long non-coding RNA, 2347 nt
Organism: Podarcis muralis (Common wall lizard)
Lineage: Eukaryota; Metazoa; Chordata; Lepidosauria; Squamata; Lacertidae
Source: Ensembl
AAAGAGAAGAACGGAAGUUGUUGAUUUAAGGUUGUCUAAAUGAAUAUUUUGAAAUGUAAAUUAGAAAAGAGAGAGAGAGAGAGAGAGAGAGAGAGAGAGAGAGAGAGAGAGAGAGAGAGAGAUAUGCUUGUUUAGGUGAGCUUUUCUCAAGAAAUUAUGUUUGUCAAAAAUUGACAAAGUUCCACCAGUUAAUGGAAUAGAAUUAUUGGAAUGCUGUUUAGGUGAUUUUGAUAGUGACCCCAAGUAAGUAGAUUGUGGAAAUCUGUGUGUAGCAUUUGUUUAAUGCAGGACUGAGAAGGACCAAGGCAUUCUUGGCACUAAACAAGCAUACCUUGAACCAACAACUCAUUUAAAGAAUUUGUGGAUGAGAGACUACAGGAGAAUAACUUAAGGAAGUGGCUGAAUGGCAUUUCCCCCUUGCACUUCUUCCCUUUCCCCAAUGCAGUUCUGCCUCCACCAGCUCUAGAGCUGUCCAUCAUCCCUCCAAGACAGACCUUUCUCCAGGGACAACGGAUCAAGUUGAAAUGCUCCCACCCGGAAGGGCAGCUGGCAGCCAAGUUCUUAUUUUAUGAAAUGAAAGCUGAUGGUGGGUGGACUAAACUCCAAGAACAGUUCGAUAAUACCCUGGAAAUCACUGCAGAAUUUCAGGAAACAAAGAAAUCAUUUGUCUGUGCCUACAUGGAAGAAAGCAGUGCAGGACAACUGUCUGAACGGAGUAACCGCAUUGAGGUUUCCAUUAUAGGCCGCCUUCAUCCUCCAUUCUUCUCUGUGUCCCCGAAGCUUGACAUCUACAGCAGUGGGGAGAUUGUGAACUUCACAUGCUCUGCUCCUGAAAACAUUCUCAUGUCGAGGGUUUUCUUUGGGAAGGACCGAUGGCUGUUGCAUGUCUACAGGCCCCCUUCUCCUCUGGCCUCCUUUACGUACACGAGGCGCUUGUCUCCUCAAGACAGCGGGGAGCAUCUUUGCACGUACCGAGCUGCAGAAUCGAGCUGGAACAUCUCAUCCCUAGAAAGCAGAAGGAUCAGGAUUUCGGUGAUGGCUCCUCCUCCUGCCCCGGUGCUGACAGUGGAUCCUCCGUCUGGAGUGGUGAAGGAAGGGGGAUUCCUGCGCCUCACUUGCUCGGCCUUUGGCAGCGACGCAGAGCAAAGGUUUCAUUUCUACAGGGAUGGGGUGAAGAUUUCCUCCAGCAGUGAAGAGUCUCUGGCGGACUCCGGAGAACCCAGGAAUGCCUUCUCGAACGCCUCUGCAAACAUCCUGGUCCAAGUCACAGCCAGCAUCCACACUGGGGGAUUUGCUUGCAGGUAUGAGCAGAAACUGAGCAGCCGAUGGAUCAUGUCUCCCUGGAGCCAAACAGUGAAUCUCACAGCUUGGGCACCAAAUUCCUCUUCGUCACCCCUGCUAUAUGCACGCUGGGCAAUUCCACUGGUGAUCCUGAUGGUCCCUCUUGCUUUUUACUGCACGAGAAGGAAGAGAGCGUUGAAAUCUGAGCAGGAAAACAAGGAAGAAGCAAAUUCUGAGUAUGUUGAAAUGUUCAGCGCCACUCGGAAGCCUCAGAGGACUCAGACGCCUUUUACUGCCUUGCCGCCCCCUGCUCUGCCUCAGCCCCCAAUAUCGCAAUCAUGGAUGGAGAGCGGAGCCAACCAGGGGAAGACCAGGAGGAAGGUCUCUACAACAACAUUCCCCUUCAGGGCAAGAAGAGAGCAGAACGAUACAGAGAUUCUGAAGAAGAAUGAGCCAUCGGGGAGAUUAAAAUAUUCAGGAUGGGGAUUUAUGACCAGGGAGAUAGGGUGGAAGGGGUCAGGGAAGAGGGCAGUGUUUUUCUCUGCAUACGGCUUGGCUCAACUUCUGCAGCACUUUCCUCAAGAGCAGGGGUCAGCAAACUUUUCAGCAGGCGGCCGGUCCACUGUCCCUUAGACCUUGUGGGGGACCGGACUAUAUUUUGAAGGAAAAAAUAUGAACGAAUUCCUAUGCCCCACAAAUAACCCAGAAAUGCAUUUUAAAUAAAAGAACACAUUCUACUCAUGUAAAAACACGCAGAUUCCCAGACCGUCCACGGGCCGGGUUUAGAAGGGAUUGAGCCUUUUCCAUUCUCAUUUUAAUCUUCUGACAUACCCAAGUACAGCCCACCCAAACACCCCCUGACCAUUGACCAUGCUGGCUUGGACAGAUACAGUUUGGUCCAACAACAACUGGAAGGCUACAGGUUCCCCCAGCCUUGUUCUAGAUAGAGGACAGAGGACCUUCUUGGUAGUGGCACCCACCCUGUGGAAUGCCCGCCCUUCAGAUGUCAAGGAAAUAAACACCUAUCUGACUUUUGAAGGACAUCUGCAGGCAGCCCUGUUUAGGA